GAAAGUGUGAUAAGGAGUGAGAGGAAAAGGAGAGGCUUAAGACGUAUUACGGAAUUUAUAAGUUUUGGGUAGCAAGGGAGUAUGAUGAUAAACAGGAUUGAACCUAUAGCUGAUCUAAUUAAUUUGGAUGAAGGCAAUUGUUGUUUAUAUUGGCAUUUUUCAGGGUUUUUAUGCAACUUCACUCCAAACUAAUAGCAGCUGCGUUUACUGAAACCAAUGUGAGGAUGAAAAGAUCCGUGUAUCCCUCUACUGAACUUCUAUCGUAGUUAAAUACAAUAAGCAUACAAGAGAUAACUGGAAUGGAAACUUCAUCGAGAAUGAAAAAUAAAGGGGUACAUUAAACAUCAAGUUAGUGAUCUGUUUUGUCAAAUGUUGUUGCACAUUGCUGUAAAUCAGCCACCGAGAACGAUCGCCAAGGUGAAAAUGUUUCCUGCGGAGAUGGCAACGAAGCUAGAUUAUUAUGAGAAGUCCUGGAUCGUGGAUGUAGAGGUGGAAGUUGCGGUGGAGACUUGGAGCUAGAAGUGGAAUCCUCACUUGUGCUACUGAUACUCUCAGAGCUGCUCAUGGCAACUGCUAGAGCCAAUGUGCUUCGGCUUAAGCUAAUUGGUCUCUUGGAUAUCCCACCCCCAUUACUUCGAUGAGGGAAACAUCUAUUCUUGUCCCACACGUGACUGAGGGCAAGUAAACUUUUGCGUCUCUUUGAGUAUGCAUUCUCUGGUUUUGCAAUAUCUUUAAUGGAGGAGGACGAGGAUACCUCUGCCAGACUCGUGAAGGACUUUGAUUUACCAUUGUAAAAUUUCGAUAUGCCUCUCCUUAUGGGUAAAGCCUCCUCCAAGGAAUCCAUAGAAUCAAACGUCCCUUUGUACGCGCUUUGCACUUCAUUUUCCUCCUCACAAUUCUCGCCAUCCAACGACUCUCUCCCCGAUAGAUCGCUAUUCUUUCCAAUGGACGACGUCGUCGAGGACGCCGAUGAGCUACAUUGAUUCACUUCCACCCUCUCCUCCUCACCCUCCUCCUUAUCAACCAAUCCACUCUCCGCUGGCGACUCGAAGAUCCCGGGCUUGGCGAUGCACGCGAUCCCUCCGCGCGCAUAUCCGGAACGUUGGAUCUCUCUCAUCCUCUACUAAUCUCCAAAGCUGAAGACAUAUCUUUGCUUGAGAUUUGAAAUACGAAACCAAAGACAAGAAAUUGGAAGAUCUUGUCCUUCAAGAAAUGGAUUACAGAUUACAGAUUACAAAAGAAAACAGAAAUGGCGGAACUCCCAUUCGUUGAUUUCUCAUAAAUAUCAAACACCCAGUUGGUUAGAGAGAUAAAAUAAAAUAAAAUAAUAGAAUUUUGAUGAUUAAUAAAUAGAGAGAGAGAGAGUAAGGCUUAU
This 1375-nucleotide unclassified non-coding RNA is filed under the name Hevea brasiliensis (rubber tree). The record is from RNAcentral. Lineage: Eukaryota; Viridiplantae; Streptophyta; Magnoliopsida; Malpighiales; Euphorbiaceae.